UAUUGGUCAAUGGGGGCAACCCUGAUCCAGCCAUCCCGAGUGUGCGAUGAAGGCCUUCGGGUUGUAAAGCAAUUUUGGCAUGAAAGAAACGGCUCUGGCUAAUAUCUGGAGAAACUGACGGUACCUGCCGAUUACGCACCGGCUAACUACGUCCGAGCAGCCGCGGUAAUUCGUAGGGUGCAAGCGUUAAUCGGAAUUACUGGGGGUAAAGAGUGCGCAGGCGGUUCGGAAAGAAAGAUGUGAAAUCCCAGGGCUUAACCGUGGAACUGCAUUUGUAACUACCGGGCUAGAGUGUGUCAGAGGGAGGUGGAAUUCCGCGUGUAGCAGUGAAAUGCGUAGAUACGCGGAGGAACACCGAUGGCGAAGGCAGCCUCCUGGGAUAACACUGACGCUCAUGCACGAAAGCGUGGGGAGCAAACAGG
This 422-nucleotide ribosomal RNA is filed under the name uncultured bacterium. RNAcentral's name for it is "partial 16S ribosomal RNA". It matches the Rfam family "Bacterial small subunit ribosomal RNA", at positions 362 to 776 of the family's 1533-position model. The record is from RNAcentral.